RNAcentral lists this long non-coding RNA (235 nucleotides) under Lathyrus oleraceus (garden pea). RNAcentral describes it as "Pisum sativum (pea) long non-coding RNA (PSAT_LNC032025)". The record is from RNAcentral. Lineage: Eukaryota; Viridiplantae; Streptophyta; Magnoliopsida; Fabales; Fabaceae.
CAUUCAAUGCAACAUCAAACCACCAUAAUCCAAACACAUUUCAUGUGAAUUUUCUGGGCAGAGUCUAAGGUUUCAAAACUGCAGUAAUCAUCUUCAUCAUUCAAACAUGAGAAAAAAAUCAAAUCGCCCAGAAUUCGAAAUUGACCAUGCCAAUAGAGUCAGCAAACAUCAUACAACAAGAAUGUAGCAUCAAAUUUCACUAAAUCACUUCAAGCAAGGCAAAUCGAGCAAAAAC